This 352-nucleotide ribosomal RNA is filed under the name uncultured bacterium. RNAcentral's name for it is "bacterial SSU rRNA". It matches the Rfam family "Bacterial small subunit ribosomal RNA", at positions 917 to 1271 of the family's 1533-position model. The record is from RNAcentral.
GGGCCCGCACAAGCGGUGGAGCAUGUGGUUUAAUUCGAUGAUACGCGAGGAACCUUACCAGGGCUUAAAUGUAAGUUGCAUAGAUCAGAGAUGGUCUUUUCUUCGGACUACUUACAAGGUGCUGCAUGGUUGUCGUCAGCUCGUGCCGUGAGGUGUCAGGUUAAGUCCUAUAACGAGCGCAACCCCUGUCGUUAGUUGCCAGCAAGUAAAGUUGGGCACUCUAGCGAGACUGCCGGUGCAAACCGCGAGGAAGGUGGGGAUGACGUCAAAUCAUCACGGCCCUUACGUCCUGGGCUACACACGUGCUACAAUGGCCGGUACAGAGAGCAGCCACUCCGCGAGGAGGAGCGAA